This 2898-nucleotide ribosomal RNA is filed under the name Actinobacillus seminis. RNAcentral's name for it is "bacterial LSU rRNA". It matches the Rfam family "Bacterial large subunit ribosomal RNA". Lineage: Bacteria; Pseudomonadati; Pseudomonadota; Gammaproteobacteria; Pasteurellales; Pasteurellaceae. The record is from RNAcentral.
UUAAGUGACUAAGCGUACACGGUGGAUGCCUAGGCAAUCAGAGGCGAAGAAGGACGUGCUAAUCUGCGAAAAGCUUGGAUGAGUUGAUAAGAAGCGAAUAAUCCAAGAUAUCCGAAUGGGGAAACCCGAUGGAUGAAGAAUCCAUCAUUCUUAAAUGAAUAAAUAGUUUAAGGAAGCGAACCGGGAGAACUGAAACAUCUAAGUACCCCGAGGAAAAGAAAUCAACCGAGAUUUUGUGAGUAGUGGCGAGCGAAAGCGAAAGAGCCUGCAAGUGAUAGCGACUGAAGACAGAGGAAGCAAUUGGGAAAUUGCGCGACACAGGGUGAUAGCCCCGUACUUGAAGUCAGGGUUGCGGUACUAAAUUUGCGAGAAGUAGGGCGGGACACGAGAAAUCCUGUUUGAAGAAGGGGGGACCAUCCUCCAAGGCUAAAUACUCCUGAUUGACCGAUAGUGAACCAGUACUGUGAAGGAAAGGCGAAAAGAACCGGGGUGACCGGAGUGAAAUAGAACCUGAAACCGUGUACGUACAAGCAGUGGGAGCCAACUUGUUUGGUGACUGCGUACCUUUUGUAUAAUGGGUCAGCGACUUAUAUUUUGUAGCGAGGUUAACUGAAUAAGGGAGCCGAAGGGAAACCGAGUCUUAACUGGGCGUUAAGUUGCAAGGUAUAGACCCGAAACCCGGUGAUCUAGCCAUGGGCAGGUUGAAGGUUGGGUAACACUAACUGGAGGACCGAACCGACUAAUGUUGAAAAAUUAGCGGAUGACUUGUGGCUGGGGGUGAAAGGCCAAUCAAACCGGGAGAUAGCUGGUUCUCCCCGAAAUCUAUUUAGGUAGAGCCUUGAGCGGACACCUUCGGGGGUAGAGCACUGUUUCGGCUAGGGGGCCAUCCCGGCUUACCAACCCGAUGCAAACUGCGAAUACCGAAGAGUGAUACUCAGGAGACACACGGCGGGUGCUAACGUCCGUCGUGGAGAGGGAAACAACCCAGACCGCCAGCUAAGGUCCCAAAGUCUAUAUUAAGUGGGAAACGAAGUGGGAAGGCCCAGACAGCUAGGAUGUUGGCUUAGAAGCAGCCAUCAUUUAAAGAAAGCGUAAUAGCUCACUAGUCGAGUCGGUCUGCGCGGAAGAUGUAACGGGGCUGAAAUAUAGCACCGAAGCUGCGGCAAUGAUGUAAACAUUAUUGGGUAGGGGAGCGUUGUGUAAGCGGAAGAAGGUGAAUUGAGAGGUUUGCUGGACGUAUCACAAGUGCGAAUGCUGACAUAAGUAACGAUAAAACGAGUGAAAAACUCGUUCGCCGGAAGACCAAGGGUUCCUGUCCAACGUUAAUCGGGGCAGGGUGAGUCGGCCCCUAAGGCGAGGCUGAGAAGCGUAGUCGAUGGGAAACGGGUUAAUAUUCCCGUACUUGGAUAAACUGCGAUGUGGGGACGAAGAAGGUUAGGUUAGCAGACUGUUGGAUGUCUGUUUAAGCCGGUAGGUGGGGGAUUUAGGCAAAUCCGGGUUCCUAUAAACACUGAGAGGUGAAGACGACGCUCUAAGGAGCGGAAGUAACUGAUACCCUGCUUCCAGGAAAAGCCGCUAAGCUUCAGGUUUAUCUAAACCGUACUGAAAACCGACACAGGUGGUCAGGUAGAGAAUACUCAGGCGCUUGAGAGAACUCGGGUGAAGGAACUAGGCAAAAUAGCACCGUAACUUCGGGAGAAGGUGCGCUUACGGUAAUUGUAGCCCUUUACGGGUGAAGGUGAAGUAAGUCGAAGAUACCAGCUGGCUGCAACUGUUUAUUAAAAACACAGCACUCUGCAAACACGAAAGUGGAAGUAUAGGGUGUGAUGCCUGCCCGGUGCUGGAAGGUUAAUUGAUGGAGUAAUCGAAAGAGAAGCUCUUGAUCGAAGCCCCAGUAAACGGCGGCCGUAACUAUAACGGUCCUAAGGUAGCGAAAUUCCUUGUCGGGUAAGUUCCGACCUGCACGAAUGGCAUAAUGAUGGCCAGGCUGUCUCCACCCGAGACUCAGUGAAAUUGAAAUCGCCGUGAAGAUGCGGUGUACCCGCGGCUAGACGGAAAGACCCCGUGAACCUUUACUAUAGCUUGACACUGAACAUUGAAUUUUGAUGUGUAGGAUAGGUGGGAGACAAAGAAGUAGGUACGCCAGUACUUAUGGAGUCGGUGUUGAAAUACCACCCUUUAACGUUUGAUGUUCUAACGAGGCACCGAAGACAGGUGUUCGGACAGUGUCUGGUGGGUAGUUUGACUGGGGCGGUCUCCUCCCAAAGAGUAACGGAGGAGCACGAAGGUUUGCUAAUCACGGUCGGACAUCGUGAGGUUAGUGCAAUGGUAUAAGCGAGCUUAACUGCGAGACGGACAAGUCGAGCAGGUGCGAAAGCAGGUCAUAGUGAUCCGGUGGUUCUGAAUGGAAGGGCCAUCGCUCAACGGAUAAAAGGUACUCCGGGGAUAACAGGCUGAUACCGCCCAAGAGUUCAUAUCGACGGCGGUGUUUGGCACCUCGAUGUCGGCUCAUCACAUCCUGGGGCUGAAGUAGGUCCCAAGGGUAUGGCUGUUCGCCAUUUAAAGUGGUACGCGAGCUGGGUUUAGAACGUCGUGAGACAGUUCGGUCCCUAUCUGCCGUGGGCGUUGGAGAAUUGAGGGGGGCUGCUCCUAGUACGAGAGGACCGGAGUGGACGCAUCACUGGUGUACCAGUUGUCUCGCCAGAGGCAUUGCUGGGUAGCUAAAUGCGGAAGAGAUAAGUGCUGAAAGCAUCUAAGCACGAAACUUGCCUCAAGAUGAGUUCUCCCCGGCAUUAAGUCGGUAAGGGUUGUUUAAGACGAAGACGUAGAUAGGUGGGAUGUGUAAGUGUAGUGAUACAUUGAGCUGACCCAUACUAAUAGCCCGAGAGGCUUAACCAU